GGAGGAUUCGCCUAGUGGCCUAUGGCGCAUGCUUGGAAAGCAUGUUUACCGAAAGGUAUCGAGGGUUCGAAUCCCUCAUCCUCCG
Molecule: transfer RNA, 85 nt
Filed under: Candidatus Falkowbacteria bacterium CG10_big_fil_rev_8_21_14_0_10_37_14
Lineage: Bacteria; Candidatus Falkowiibacteriota
Also listed under: 1 other name
Description: tRNA-Ser
Rfam family: tRNA
About the family: Transfer RNA (tRNA) molecules are approximately 80 nucleotides in length. Their secondary structure includes four short double-helical elements and three loops (D, anti-codon, and T loops).
Source: RNAcentral